CCUCCCCCGCGCGCGGCUCGGGGCGCGGGGAUGCGGGCCGGGAGGCGGGCGGGGCGGGGCGGGGCCCUGGCCGCCCCAGCCGCGCCCGGGGCGGUGCCCGGUGCCCGCGCCUUGUUUACGGGCGCUGCGGCCCCUCUCCUGGCGGGCACCGAGCCUUUCCGGGCGGAGGCGGAGGCCGUGGGCUCUUUCCGGGGCGUCAUCGGCGCCAUCCACCCGUCAGGUCCCGGGAAGUCAGGAGAGCACACACUGGCAUGUAUGACAUCUUGGAUUUGAUCCCCAGCACUGCCAAAAAUACAAUAAAACAACACAUAGAGGCUGUGUAGCACUGAUACUGUCCAUACUGUCUCAAUUGGAACUGAGCUGAGGCGCUUCAGCCCCCGUGGGGCAGUAUCCGUUCAUCUGUCCGAGGGCUCCACAUGUCUGUCCAGUGUUCUAAAGAGCAGUUAUCCAUCCAGAUAAGUAUUGCCCUUUGUGCCUUGUUUUGACGCGUAAAAUGAAAUGUCACUAACUAAAGUCCCGUAAGGAAACACGGGUUAGUGAGGUUCGCUAGGAAGUAAACAAAGCAACAACUUGUGAAACGUAAGCAGAUGCCUCUCACUGCUGUUUCCCGCCCUGCCGCCUCUGCUGAGUGCAGAUUUCAGUUCAGAUAAACACGUUCUAAGAACUGGGGCUGAGGUAAACACCAGCCUUCUUGCUAGUGCUCGCGAGCUCUUUAUUAAAGCUUUCCAUACCAGCCUAGCAUCUUCCUGUUGAAAGAGAAAAAAUAAGAAUCACAUAGUAAAAAUACCUUAAAAUUAUAUUUUACACUGUAAGAACCCCUUUAAGAUAGUAAAAAUAAACAUUAAAAAGCCAUACCCACUGCUAUUAAAAAUGAAAAUAGAAAAUGAGCUAUAUUGAUGUUCUGUUGCUGGAUAUUUUUCUGUUUUUGAGUAAAGGUGUGCCUAAUUUUAAAACUCCUCCCACUAAAACUACAAUACAGUUUCAAACCUCACAAUGUAAAUGUCAGAGAAAAUUAAACCACAGAUCAGCAUCUAUAUCUUUCUCAGUGCAAAAUAUAAAACCCAGCACACAUUACUAAACAUGUGUUCAGGAUUUAUUAAGCCUCAUAUUUUAGGAAUUAUCCAAAAUGUCAGUCUUUCCCAUUAGCUUUCUAUCUAAAUAGGGCACCAUUAAAUAUCCUUGCAUGUUUGACCUCUUUCACGUUUACCUUCGGUUACAGCAUUUUACACAUAAUUUGAAAACAAAACCUUGUAGUACGUAUUAUAACCAUCAUCUGGCGUUUUUCUGGGCUGUCUUACUGCCUAAUUUCAAUUCUCUGUGUUGCUGUGUACAAGCCCAUUUCCUAGUGGCACAUGGUCCAGAGAGUCCUGCUCAUCUUUGAACCCAGGAAGUUCCGCCAAGUCUCAAAUAUUACAUCAGAUUGCAGAUUCGGGAAGAUUCCAGGAAAAGGUGAUAUGAAGACAUCAUAGAAAACAAGCAUUGAGCUCUGUCUUCAUACUGGAGACUACUGUUUUUCAAUGACAUUUACAUUUACACUUAGAAGAAAGAAAAGGGGUCAGGCCAAGUAAGGUAAACUAAGACAACUUUUAAAACGUGUCUGGUUGUGAACGUCAUUAUUUCUGUGGAUUGAUGUUAAACGUUAACCUUGAAACUGAAGGCGGUGAGCCCAAGCAUUUCCAGUCUUCAGCUCAACUCAGGCAGUGAUGCCCCUUGCCUGCGAUCCCUGAAGCACCACCUCCUUAGAGUCACAGCUCUGUCUAUUGAGAGCCUUGCAUCCCAGCCAUUCACUUCCAAAUGUUUCUUGAAUAUAAUUGAAGGAUCUGCUAAGUUGAUAAACAAAGUUUGCUCCUCCUUCCUUUGUAAAUGGUGUUUGCAAUCUCUAGUGCUGUCCUGGGAGGAGAAAACCCUUUCUGAUGUACCCAGGUUUGCUAGCUAGGUCUGCCUUCUGAGUCACAUGACCCAGUGACAAGUCCGCAUAGACCCAGUGGCUGCUUAAUUCUGUCUGUUCAUCAGCAAGCUUCGAUCAUGAGCCCUGACCAGGAACUGGCUUAGUCUUGUGAACAGAGGUCCACAUGAGCUUCUGGGGGGCAGCAUCCACCCCAGUCUCUCUGUCUCCUUCUUCUCUUGUGGGUGAGCCAGUGUGCUCAGGCCAGGACUCCCACAAUCAGUCCAUUUCUAGGAUUGUGCUUACAGCAAACCACACUGUAAGGAUGAGGUCUUUCAUGAAAGAGAAAGAGUAGAGUCCCCAAGCUCAGUGUGCAGCUACCCUGCAGGUGGGGAGCCCAGCAGCCUCUGCAUGUCACCUGUGUUGAGGAGCCCAUGGCAGGUGGUGCUGCCUCUGCCCACGUUUGUGAACAAAGAGGCCAGCUCCAGGUACCACUAACAGGCUGGCUGAUCUAUUUGCUUGUAAGAAAAAUGAGAUGAAAUCCCAGACCCCAGCAAUGCCCUUAGGAAGCACAGGGUCCACUGGGAGGUAGAGAACUAUUUGUACAUAGCCAAAUCGAGAGGCCAGCUCUAAGUAUGGAAAGAAACCCAAUCACACAGGGCAGUGUGGUGUGUAGUAAAUCGGUGUUUCGUUGUGCGGAGGGCCAGGACACAAUGUGGGCUGGCAUCACGGAAAACAGAGGCAGGCACAUUAAAGCUUUACCUGUGUCUUGCACUACACUGCUUGGUGAACCAAAGAAUUAAAUAUUAAAACUUUAAACCAUAACAUUUAGGGGGAAAAAGAAAGAGAUAUUGAUGAAUUUGACUUUCUCAAACAGAAUUCACAAGCGGAAAGCAGUAAAAUCAAAAGUAAAGUAUAAGGGAGUGAUUAAAAGAUAUGGAGAGUGUUUAAAUUGUUUUUUAAAGUGUACUACAGUAAAGACACAUUGCCAAGAACAAUUGGAUGACUGUAAAGUGAGGUGGGUAUUUUUUUGUGUGUGUACUGGGUAUUAAACGCAGGACCUUGUGCUUGUGAGUCAGGCGCAGUGCCACUGAGCUACAUCCCCGGCCCAAGGCAGGUAUUUUGAGGGGAAUGAAUGACAAUGUGUCUUUUACUGUAAUACAUUUUUUAAAAAUUUAAAGUCACCAUGUAUUUUUAAUCACACCUCAGAUAAACUGCAAAGGACAAAGAAAUGGCAAGCAUAUCAUGGAUGAAGUACUACUUAGGUGUUUAUGUAGUAUCCUAAGGGCUCCUAUAAGAUAAUGAAGAGACCAAAAACACAUAACCAAAGAUGGAUGAUCUGAAUACAUAAUUCCCUACAAUGAAAAUAAAUGCAAAAACAAAAGCCUUAACCGUAGGAAAACUUGCUUGCCAUUUCCUGUCAUAAAAUAAAUGCACAUCAGAGCCACAGUGUGGCACAGUAUUCACCUAGCAGACGGGCUGAAACUGACCUCAGGACCCGGGAAGGGCCAAGCGAGGGACUGCAUCUGACCCGGACGGAUGCUCAGGGCCUGGACCCCGGAUGGAACAUCUUAGGGGUGACUUGUGCCCCCGUGACAGGGCGCUGGAAUAUGAGGUGCACAUGGGUUCCCGCCAGUCUCCUCAGAAGAGCAAAGUUUUCGAUUCACACUACCAGAGGUGCGUUCUUAAAGAACCAGGCAUGGAGUGGAUGCCUGGUGCACUCCGUUAUUCUGUGUGUCUGUGUUUUGGCUUCAUUGUUUUGUGUUGUGAUUGAAAAGCCCACAUAAACGGCUUGACGGAAGCCCUUGAGACCUGCUCCCUGGAUGUUCCCAGAGGUCAUGAGGGGUCGGCUCCUCGAACUCUACCCUCUUUCAUGUCCGCGGAGCACAGGAAGGGGUCUCUGGGGCCUCACUAUGCCAGGAGGGAAGGGCUGGUGUCCUAGGGGGAGCAAGGCCCCUUCAGCAGCAGCAGCGAUUCCUGCUGUGUUCUGUGAAGUGCCACCGACAGGUGAGCACUCAAUAAGCAUUUCUAGAUUUAGUUCCAGAGAGGCAUUGAUUUACUUUUUAACCAUUGCUGAAGGGGAGAGAUGAGGAAAGCCAAUCAAAAAAGCUAACACCCCCAGCCCCAGCCAUAAUGGGGACCAAACCUAGGGGCCCUGUACCACUGAGCCAUGUCCCCAGUUAUUAUUACUAUUAUUACUACUACUAUUAUUAUUAUUUUGAGACAGAGUCUCACUAAGUGCCCCCGGCUGGCCUUGAAGUUGGGAUCCUCCUGCUUCAGCCUCCCAUAUAGCUAGAAUUACAGGUAUGCACUGCCACCUCCAGUGAACUGAAGGGUUUGUUUGUUUGCUUGUUUGUUUGUUUUUGAGAUAGGGUCUUCUAUGUAGUUCAGGCUGACCUUGAACUCACUAUGUAGCCCAGGCUGGCUCAAACCUGAACUUGCAGCAAUCCUCCUGCCUCAGUCUCCUGAGUGCUGAGAUUACAGGCGUGCGCCACCAAGGCCAACUGUGAACUGGAGGCUUUUAGAAGAGGGGGGAAAUGUAGUUUUUCAGGGAAGACGAUUAAACUACAGAAUUCUGGUCUAUUUUUAAUGUGCCAUUACAGUAAUGUAGAAUUGGCAUCUUCUAACACCGACUUUUCCAGUGCUGUAAAAACAAAGAGUAUAAACGUGGGAGCCCGAGGGAAAUCUGCACGUGUGAGGUUCAUCGCAGCAGGAGUCAUUGGGAUUCCAGCCGUUCUCCGUCACUCAAGUACAGCAGACCUGCCUGCGCUCAGUGGCUUUUCUCCGUGGUGAGGAGACUGCCCCCAUGCACGGAAACAGUGUGGUCAGCAGUUUGGGUCUACUUUCCAAGGGCUAAAGAUACAUGGGGGAAAUGAGUCUCCUCUCCACUAAGAGCUUGCUUCCCGAACCCGUUUGACUGUGUGGAGAUAUCAGUAUUAAUUCGGAAAGAUUAUACCUAGCCAGGGGUUACCUUUCAACAUACAAAGCAAGAUUCUCCUGGUAAAAAUAUUUUCAGUUUACAAGACUAAUGAAUAAGACAUCUAUAUUUUAAGUCCAGUAUCUGUUGCCACCCUAGAUUCUACUUAUUUUUCUUUGUGAUUUUACUAAAGACGUAUAUAAACAUUUCUGCAUUGUACUUAUACUUAAGCAUAAUAUAAACAUUAUCAUACUACUUGUAUUCUUUUACAGCUUGCCUUUUUGACUUAACAUUUUUUUAAAUCCAGAUAUAAUUCAUAUAAUUCAGUUGUUUUCAGUACAUUCACAAAGUUGUGAAAUCAUCACUAAUGUCUAAAUCUGGAACUUUUUUGUCACCCCAAAAAGACACUUCCAGAACCCUUUUCAGAAUUUCCCUCCCCAGUUUCUGCCAGCCACAGCUUUCUGCCUGUGUCCCAUGAUUUGGAGAAAUAUCUAUUUUCACUCACCUAGCUAUAGUUCAUUCAUUUUAACUGUAAUACAUGUAUAAAGAUUUUCACAUCUGUGAAUGGAAAUAUGUUAUAGUUGUUUAUAUUUAAAUUUUAAUAUUAGUAUUUUGAAAAGCACAUUUAAACAUUUAAAAUUUCUUUUAGCAAAUAUUGUGUAUACAUAUAUAUUCUUAUAAGCUGUUUUCUAGACAGAAAGUGGAAUUUCCUGUUAAUCCCACCUGCCUUUUGUUUAAGAGGGUGUACAAAUUCAUAAUUCCACUAGCAGCACUGACUUUUAAAAUUCUUACCCAUUGAGCUAUAUAGUCAGUGUUUAUAAACAUCUAAUAUUGUUGCUUUAUGAAAAUAUUUUCAUUUAUUACUUGUCUUUUCAUUUUCUUUAGGUUGUCUAUUGAAUAAGCCGAAAUUCUGAACUUUAUGCAAGUUUGAAUGUAUCAAUUUUUCCUUUUAGGUUCUGUACUUUUCUGAUUGGUUUAAGUUUUUUCUCUUCCAAAUUCCCAAGUAUUUAUUCCUUCAUUUCCUUUCUCUAUUUUUGGCUGAUUUCACCUCCACUAUAUGUUUGCAUAUAAUAGUGGCUAAAAUUCAUUGUUUUCCUUCUAAUUUCUUUUUUCUUUUUGAACCUAAUGUAAUACAUGUAGAUAUUAAUAAAGAAAAUAUGAAAAGCACUCUCUUCCUUUGAUAAAAAAUUUUUAAAUCUCAUAAUAAAAUACUUAGAAUAACUAGUUAAUGCACUGUGUACCAUGAUCUUAUAUGAGAAACUCAAAAUAUGAACAUACACUGGUAUAAAUAAACAGCAAAAUAGAAGAUAGAGAAAUGAGAAGUAGAGAGGAGUUCAAAUGAUUCCCCUCAAUUCUCUAUUCCACAGUUUCAAAAAUAGUUCAGUAUGUAUGGUCAUUUGUCUCAUGUAUACUACUAGUUUCUCUUCGUUGAUUGAAAAGGUUUGUGCUAUUAUCUGUUUCUUUUUUGUAAGGGAGUCCUUUCCGUCUCUGACUUGUACUCUGAGUAACAUUUUGGCCAUUUUUCUUUGGCUCUGCGGCUUUCAUGGACUCUUUCUGACUUUCACCCCAACAGAGCAGCCACAUCUCUGCCUCCAUCCUUUCCUGCUGCCUUCCGUGUGCUUAGGGUCCCCCGGCCCGGUCCGUGCUGCCUGGGCGUGUAUUUCUACAGCGCGGCUCUGCCUGCUGAGCCACUCCCCGCCAGCUCUGCACGAGCGAUGUGGAUUUGCUAACCCUUCCUUCUCUCAUUUUAGAAUUAGCUUUCAGGGUUUAAAUACUUUUAGAAAGCUUGCUCAUCAAUAGGACACUUGGUUCUCAUGCCCACAAAAAUGGCACUCCAUGCUUUUAGGUGAUUUUAAAUUUACUUUGUGUAAAGUUUUAUGAUUUUCCACAGAGGUCUUAAAUAUAUUUUGUUAGAUUUAUUCCUAGCACUGGAAAUAUUUUGUCACUCUUGUAAAACAAUGUCUGUAUAAGAAAUUACAUUUUCUCAUUGUUGCUUAAUAUAGAAUAAAAUUGAUUUUAAUUUCUCUUAUAUCCAGUGAUUUUUUAAAAUCUUUUUAAAUUUAAUUUUUAUUUUAUUAGUG
RNAcentral lists this long non-coding RNA (6883 nucleotides) under Heterocephalus glaber (naked mole-rat). RNAcentral describes it as "lncRNA (ENSHGLG00100036955.1)". Lineage: Eukaryota; Metazoa; Chordata; Mammalia; Rodentia; Bathyergidae. The record is from RNAcentral.